ACUCAAAUGAAUAGACGGGGGCCCGCACAAGCAGUGGAGUAUGUGGUUUAAUUCGAAGCAACGCGAAGAACCUUACCAGGGCUUGACAUCACCAUGAAUACCGUAGAGAUAUGGUAGUCCUUCGGGACGUGGUGACAGGUGGUGCAUGGUUGUCGUCAGCUCGUGUCGUGAGAUGUUGGGUUAAGUCCCGCAACGAGCGCAACCCCUGUUGUUAGUUGCCAUCAUUAAGUUGGGCACUCUAGCGAGACUGCCGGUGACAAAUCGGAGGAAGGUGGGGACGACGUCAAAUCAUCAUGCCCCUUAUGUCCUGGGCUACACACGUACUACAAUGGCCAUUACAGCAGGCAGCGAAAGCGUAAGCUGGAGCAAAUCCUUAAAAAUGGCCUCAGUUCAGAUUGUGGGCUGAAACCCGCCCACAUGAAGUCGGAAUUGCUAGUAAUUGCAGGUCAGCAUACUGCAGUGAAUACGUUCCCGGGCCUUGUACACACCGCCCGU
This 495-nucleotide ribosomal RNA is filed under the name uncultured bacterium. RNAcentral's name for it is "partial 16S ribosomal RNA". It matches the Rfam family "Bacterial small subunit ribosomal RNA", at positions 899 to 1397 of the family's 1533-position model. The record is from RNAcentral.